This 169-nucleotide transfer RNA is filed under the name Candidatus Nitrososphaera gargensis Ga9.2. RNAcentral describes it as "tRNA-Met". The stretch from base 95 to 169 matches the Rfam family "tRNA". Lineage: Archaea; Thermoproteati; Nitrososphaerota; Nitrososphaeria; Nitrososphaerales; Nitrososphaeraceae. The record is from RNAcentral.
CAGGCUGCACUCUGGCUCGGGUGUGCUUGAAGGCGACGUCCGGCGAAUGUUUGAAUAGCUUAUAUUAUGUACUGCGAAAUUUCAGGUGGCAAUAGCCGGGGUAGCUCAGCUUGGUUAGAGCGUACGACUCAUAAUCGUAAGGUCGCGGGCUCAAAUCCCGCCUCCGGCA